RNAcentral lists this ribosomal RNA (253 nucleotides) under uncultured bacterium. Its description in RNAcentral is "partial 16S ribosomal RNA". It matches the Rfam family "Bacterial small subunit ribosomal RNA", at positions 524 to 776 of the family's 1533-position model. The record is from RNAcentral.
UACAGAGGUCUCAAGCGUUGUUCGGAUUCAUUGGGCGUAAAGGGUGCGUAGGUGGCAUGGUAAGUCGGAUGUGAAAUCCCGGGGCUCAACCCCGGAACUGCAUUCGAUACUGCUGCGCUAGAGUACUGGAGAGGAGAUUGGAAUUUACGGUGUAGCAGUGAAAUGCGUAGAUAUCGUAAGGAAGACCAGUGGCGAAGGUGGAUCUCUGGACAGUUACUGACACUGAGGCACGAAGGCCAGGGGAGCAAACGGG